Molecule: ribosomal RNA, 126 nt
Filed under: Triticum aestivum (bread wheat)
Lineage: Eukaryota; Viridiplantae; Streptophyta; Magnoliopsida; Poales; Poaceae
Description: partial small subunit ribosomal RNA
Source: RNAcentral
UUACCUGGACGGGGUCUAUGUGCGAUCAAGAAGGCUCAUGGCCUAUAUCAAUGGUUCACAUUGCACAUAGUGAAUGUGUUGAUCUAUCAUCUCCCUUGGGAGAGUGGACAUCAAAAUUUGUGUUAG